This 772-nucleotide ribosomal RNA is filed under the name Tengella radiata. RNAcentral's name for it is "SSU rRNA". It matches the Rfam family "Eukaryotic small subunit ribosomal RNA", at positions 985 to 1773 of the family's 1831-position model. Lineage: Eukaryota; Metazoa; Arthropoda; Arachnida; Araneae; Zoropsidae. The record is from RNAcentral.
GAAGUUAGAGGUUCGAAGGCGAUCAGAUACCGCCCUAGUUCUAACCAUAAACGAUGCCAGCCAGCGAUCCGGCUGUGUUCCUCAAAUGACACGCCGGGCAGCUUCCGGGAAACCAAAGCUUUUGGGUUCCGGGGGAAGUAUGGUUGCAAAGCUGAAACUUAAAGGAAUUGACGGAAGGGCACCACCAGGAAUGGAGCCUGCGGCUUAAUUUGACUCAACACGGGGAAACCUACCCGGUCCGGACACAGGAAGGAUUGACAGAUUAAGAGCUCUUUCUUGAUUCUGUGGGUGGUGGUGCAUGGCCGUUCUUAGUUGGUGGAGCGAUUUGUCUGGUUAAUUCCGAUAACGAACGAGACUCUAGCCUACUAAAUAGACGUUCCGAUCAUCUGCGUCGGACGUUCUUCUUAGAGGGACAAGCGGCGUUUAGCCGCACGAGACAGAGCAAUAACAGGUCUGUGAUGCCCUUAGAUGUCCGGGGCCGCACGCGCGCUACAUUGAAGGAAUCAGCGUGUGCUUUCCCGGUCCGACAGGACUGGGUAACCCGUUGAACCUCCUUCGUGCUGGGGAUUGGCGCUUGUAAUUAUUCGCCAUGAACGAGGAAUUCCCAGUAAGCACGAGUCAUCAGCUCGUGUUGAUUACGUCCCUGCCCUUUGUACACACCGCCCGUCGCUACUACCGAUUGAAUGAUUUAGUGAGGUCUUCGGACUGGCUCUCGGAGCGGACCUACUCGGUUCGCGCCGGCGUGCCGGAAAGAUGACCAAACUUGAUCAUU